This 922-nucleotide ribosomal RNA is filed under the name Pantoea sp. Its description in RNAcentral is "bacterial SSU rRNA". It matches the Rfam family "Bacterial small subunit ribosomal RNA", at positions 557 to 1491 of the family's 1533-position model. The record is from RNAcentral. Lineage: Bacteria; Pseudomonadati; Pseudomonadota; Gammaproteobacteria; Enterobacterales; Erwiniaceae.
GGCGUAAGCGCACGCAAGCGGUCUGUCAAAGUCGGAUGUGAAAUCCCCGGGCUUAACCUGGGAACUGCAUUCGAAACUGGCAGGCUAGAGUCUUGUAGAGGGGGGUAGAAUUCCAGGUGUAGCGGUGAAAUGCGUAAAGUUCUGGAGGUUUUCCGGUGGCGUUAGCGGCCCCCUGGUCUAGUCUGUCGCUCAAGUGCGUUUGCGUGGGGAGCUUCAGGUUUAGUUACCCUGGUAGUCCUCGCCGUAUCGUUGUCGUCUUGGAGGUUGUUCCCUUGAGGUGUGGCUUCCGGUGCUACGCGUUUGUCGUCCGCCUGGGGUGUACAGCCGCAAGGUUAAACUCAUUGUUUUGUCAGGGGCCCGCAAAGCGGUGGUACUUGUGGUUUAUUCAUUGCAACGCAAGUUCCUUUCCUCUCUUGUCAUCCAGAGUUCUUAGCAAUGUUGCUUUGGUGCCUUCAGGUUCUCUGUAUCAGGUGCUGCAUGGCUGACAACAACUCAUGUUGUAAAAUGUUGGGUUUAGUCCCGCAACGUGCGCAACCCUUACCUUUGUUGCCAGCGGUUCGGCAGGGAACUCAAAGGAAACUGAAAAUGAUAAACUGAAGGAUGGUGGGGAUGUAGAAAAGUCAUAAUGGAACUUACAUGUAGGGAUAAAAAAGUGCUAAAAUGGCACAUACAAAGUGAUGCGUCAUCACGUGUGCAUGCGGUCAUAAUAAUGUGCGUCAUAAUCCGGAUUGGUGUCUGCAACUCGACUCCAUGUAGUCUGUAUCAAUGAUAUCGUGUUCUAUAUGCUACAGUGUAUACAUUCACGGGACAAUGUCAUCCGCCCGUCAACCAUGGGAGUGGGAUUGCAAUAGUAGUAGAUGAUAUACCAUUCAGGUGGGACACUAUAACAAAUUUGAUAAUUCAUGAAUGGGGUGUGUCGUAA